This 857-nucleotide ribosomal RNA is filed under the name Helotiales sp. Its description in RNAcentral is "partial large subunit ribosomal RNA". It matches the Rfam family "Eukaryotic large subunit ribosomal RNA", at positions 72 to 946 of the family's 3401-position model. The record is from RNAcentral. Lineage: Eukaryota; Fungi; Ascomycota; Leotiomycetes; Helotiales.
GGAUUACCUCAGUAACGGCGAGUGAAGCGGUAACAGCUCAAAUUUGAAAUCUGGCCCUUUUAGGGUCCGAGUUGUAAUUUGUAGAAGAUGCUUUGGGCGUGGCUCCGGUCUAAGUUCCUUGGAACAGGACGUCAUAGAGGGUGAGAAUCCCGUAUGUGACUGGUAGCUUUCGCCCGUGUAAAGCUCUUUCGACGAGUCGAGUUGUUUGGGAAUGCAGCUCAAAAUGGGUGGUAAAUUUCAUCUAAAGCUAAAUAUUGGCCAGAGACCGAUAGCGCACAAGUAGAGUGAUCGAAAGAUGAAAAGCACUUUGGAAAGAGAGUUAAACAGUACGUGAAAUUGUUGAAAGGGAAGCGCUUGCAACCAGACUCGCAGGCCGUCGAUCAUCCCUGGUUCUCCAGGGUGCACUCGGCGGUCUUCGGGCCAGCAUCGGUUUGGGUGGUGGGAUAAAGGCCUUGGGAAUGUAGCUUCUUUCGGGGAGUGUUAUAGCCCUCGGUGCAAUGCCGCCUACCCGGACCGAGGACCGCGCUUCGGCUAGGAUGCUGGCGUAAUGGUUGUAAGCGACCCGUCUUGAAACACGGACCAAGGAGUCUAACAUCUAUGCGAGUAUUUGGGUGUCAAACCCAUAUGCGUAAUGAAAGUGAACGGAGGUGAGAACCCUUAAGGGUGCAUCAUCGACCGAUCCUGAUGUCUUCGGAUGGAUUUGAGUAAGAGCAUAGCUGUUGGGACCCGAAAGAUGGUGAACUAUGCCUAAAUAGGGUGAAGCCAGAGGAAACUCUGGUGGAGGCUCGCAGCGGUUCUGACGUGCAAAUCGAUCGUCAAAUUUGGGUAUAGGGGCGAAAGACUAAUCGAACCAUCUA